Molecule: transfer RNA, 86 nt
Filed under: Chloroflexota bacterium
Lineage: Bacteria; Bacillati; Chloroflexota
Description: tRNA-Leu
Rfam family: tRNA
About the family: Transfer RNA (tRNA) molecules are approximately 80 nucleotides in length. Their secondary structure includes four short double-helical elements and three loops (D, anti-codon, and T loops).
Source: RNAcentral
GCCGGGGUGGCGAAACUGGAGAGACGCGGCGGACUUAAAAUCCGCGGGCCCACAAGGCCGUAGGGGUUCGAAUCCCCUCCCCGGCA